GCUCUCUCUUUCUCUAAGUACAGGCAGCCCACGAGCAGUAGCAAGCAGAGCAAUGGCGAGCAGCCAACAAACAGUAUAAGCAGCAACAAAGCUAAGCUGUUUGUGGCGAGGCCGGACGGCACGGGGACGAACGACAGCGAAUUCAGGACGGCACCAAUGCUCUCCAGUUCAGAACUACAAUUCGCAGAGAGAUUUUUUGCAUGAGAUUUACUUUACUUUGUGAAAAGGUAGGGUGAAAUAAAAUGAAGCACCUCGGUGGAGCAACUUAAAAAAUGUAUCGACAAAUCAGCACACAUAAACAAACAAGAUCGCCAUUGAACUCUGAAAAAGAUGGUGCAGGGCAGGACAAUGGUGCAGGGCAGAAUCAGCACACAUAAACAAACAAGAUCGCCAUAGUUUCAAGUAGCAGUUUCAGGUAGCAGCAUUUUCAAACAGCAACAGUUUCAGGUAGCAGUUUCAAACACUUCCAUAGUUCCAUAGUUUUCAUUAGCAAUACAUUUUCAAACAGCAGCAGUUUCAGGUACCAGUUCCAGGUAAACACCAACAUUUUCAUUUGCAAUAGUUUCAGGUAGCAGUUUCAAACACUUCCAUAGUUCCAUAGUUUUCAUUAGCAAUACAUUUUCAAACAGCAGCAGUUUCAGGUACCAGUUCCAGGUAAACAACAACAUUUUCAUUUGCAAUAGUUUCAGGUAGCAGUUUCAAACACUUCCAUAGUUCCAUAGUUUUCAUUAGCAAUACAUUUUCAAACAGCAGCAGUUUCAGGUACCAGUUCCAGGUAAACAACAACAUUUUCAUUUGCAAUAGUUUCAGGUAGCAGUUUCAAACACUUCCAUAGUUCCAUAGUUUUCAUUAGCAAUACAUUUUCAAACAGCAGCAGUUUCAGGUACCAGUUCCAGGUAAACACCAACAUUUUCAUUUGCAAUAGUUUCAGGUAGCAGUUUCAAACACUUCCAUAGUUCCAUAGUUUUCAUUAGCAAUACAUUUUCAAACAGCAGCAGUUUCAGGUACCAGUUCCAGGUAAACACCAACAUUUUCAUUUGCAAUAGUUUCAGGUAGCAGUUUCAAACACUUCCAUAGUUCCAUAGUUUUCAUUAGCAAUACAUUUUCAAACAGCAGCAGUUUCAGGUACCAGUUCCAGGUAAACACCAACAUUUUCAUUUGCAAUAGUUUCAGGUAAACAGCAGCAGCAGUUUCAGGUACCUUCUUCAGGUGCAGAGCGGCACUAGCUCCAUCAGAGGAGCGGCAACUCCAACAGAAGAGCAGCAGCAGCAGCUCAGACAUAGGAGAC
RNAcentral lists this long non-coding RNA (1288 nucleotides) under Hordeum vulgare. Its description in RNAcentral is "long non-coding RNA (HVUL_LNC013524)". The record is from RNAcentral. Lineage: Eukaryota; Viridiplantae; Streptophyta; Magnoliopsida; Poales; Poaceae.